AUUGAACGCUGGCGGCAGGCCUAACACAUGCAAGUCGAACGAGUGGCGGACGGGUGAGUAAUGUCUGGGAAACUGCCCGAUGGAGGGGGAUAACUACUGGAAACGGUAGCUAAUACCGCAUACCAUCGGAUGUGCCCAGAUGGGAUUAGCUAGUAGGUGGGGUAACGGCUCACCUAGGCGACGAUCCCUAGCUGGUCUGAGAGGAUGACCAGCCAAACUGGAACUGGGACACGGUCCAAGAUCCUAAGGGAGGCAGCAGGUGGGGAUAUUGGACAAUGGGGGGAAGCCCGAUGCAGCCAUGGCGGGUGUAUGAAGGAGGCCUUCGGGUUGUAAAGUACUUUCAGGCGGGAGGCGGUACCCGGAGAAGAAGCAACGGGUAAAUACGUGCCAGCAGGCGCGGUAAUAC
This 406-nucleotide ribosomal RNA is filed under the name uncultured bacterium. RNAcentral's name for it is "partial 16S ribosomal RNA". It matches the Rfam family "Bacterial small subunit ribosomal RNA", at positions 29 to 526 of the family's 1533-position model. The record is from RNAcentral.